Sesamum indicum (sesame) is the source of this 2140-nucleotide long non-coding RNA. RefSeq lists it as uncharacterized. The record is from RefSeq and is a predicted model, not a curated record. NCBI's taxonomy places the organism in Eukaryota, Viridiplantae, Streptophyta, Magnoliopsida, Lamiales, Pedaliaceae.
CCAUUAUAAAUUUGACGGAGGAAGGGUGUUGGACAUCACUGCAUUCAUAACUCUCAUCUUUCAAGUUUUUCACUACAUUCAACUGCAGCUAUUGUGAGGUUAUUUUCAAUUUAUUUUUCAUAAAAAUGGAUAGACGUUCUAUAUAUGGACCUCGUAAUGAGAUUGUUUUAUCUCAACAAGCCCAACAUAGGUCUGACGAUAUUCCGAAAAGUGACCUAGAUGCAGUACUAAUUUCACGGCGUGCGGAUGGUAGCUUUUGAAGUCAUUUUCACCAAAAUAAUAUGUCCGAGCGUGUACAAGAAAUUCUAUACUAAAUAGGAUUUUAUGGAGUUUACAGGUGAGGAUGCCUUCAAUUAAAUCAACACCUCAUCACUGCAUUAGUGGAGAGGUGGCGAUCGAAGACGCACACUUUUCAUUUUCGUGUAGGGGAAGCCACAAUUACCCUACAAGAUGUACAAAUAAUUUGGGCACUCCCAAUAGACGGCGAGCCGUUGACUGGAAUUGAUUUCGACCGCACAACACAACAAUGGUAAGAAUAUUGCCUUACUUACAUAGGCUUUAGCCCGGAUGCAAAUGUGUUGAAGGGCUCGAGAUUACAGACAUCCGCAAUUACAUCUCAUUUGGCGACGGUCGAAAUCACUUAUAAUACUCCCCAUGCUGUCGUCGUCCAGUACACACGUGUCGUUGCAUUACUUCUAUUUGUGGGAUUGACGUGCCCAAAUUUCUUAGGUAACUAUGUCUCAUUACUAUAUCUCUCAAAAUUAGAAGAUAUAGAAACCACGAGGAACUAUAAUUGGGGGAGUGCUGUGCUGACAUGUUUAUAUCGCGAAUUAUGCAAUGCCAGCACAAAAGGCAAAGCGGCAAUUGGUGGGGCGCUGCAAUUGCUACAGAUUUGGGCAUGAUCACGGAUUACGCCACUUUGUCCUGGGCUUGGUGCCCAAUGGUUAUUUAUGGGCCAAGUCCAAAUGGACAGCAAUCGCUGGCUCCCAAUAGCACCAUAUGGUGCUACUUGGAAUUGUCAGCACACUUUCACCACUACAGUUCGGGGAACUGUCCGAGUCAUACGAGAAAUAUUGGAUGAGAUGCAGGCUGAUUAGCUGUAUCACAUGGACUCGGAUGUCAUUAUGGCUUACGCCGAUAAAUUGAACCCUCAGUUGUGGAGGUUAUCCGUUCCAUUGAUAUUCUACGCAAUAGUUGAAAUGCAUCGUCCCGAACGGGUUGUUCGCCAAUUCAGGAUGAGGCAGAAUGUACCAGAAUCGACGGAUAGCCGUGAUAUGAGCCUCCAUCAGAUUUCCCGUAAAAAUCACGCGGGCGCAGAUUGGUCCCUGCAACACAUACAAUAUAUCACUAGAUGGCAAAAACGAUAUGACACAGUUGUACAUAGGCCACUCAUUUCCAAUAGAAGGGAAACAGAACGAGGUUAUUGGGAAUGAUACUACAACAUAACAAGAAAUUUCGUGUCGUCAUCUACUGAUAGACGUGUGGAAAGCGGGUACCAACCUGGAGAAGCACCUAUGUUGCAAGUUGUGACAAAUGAGGUGAAUGCCUUUGAAACUUUAUGUCGAUCUAGACCACCAAAUAUCGAAGGAUAUAGUCAAUUAGUGGAUAGAUUUGAACAUGGGUUACAUAUUAUCAAGGAAGUUAUAACCCAACAGCCACAACAAAUUGUUUCUCCAUCCGAUGAUGCUCCCACAACAUCCCACAGGCAAAGAAGAAGUUCUAGCCGAAUGUCAACUAGUUCAGUUGAAUGUCAUGAUAUUGGGGUGGAUAUAGCUGGUCCUUCUACAGUAUAUCCACCUCAAGAUUAUUACGUACCUCAACCGCCUCAAGAUUAUUAUAUGCCUCAACCGUCUCAAGGUGGUUGGUUUCAAUAGACUCCAUAUAUGUCAAACCAAACACAAGAUUAUUCUCUUGACCUUGAUUUUGGUAUUAAUCAACCAUAUACACAAAGAUAUAAUAUUUCACCAAUUCCAUUUCCAUCAUUUGGUGCAUAUCAUGACAAUAUGGAGUCAAGUUCCGCAACAACAUCAAGUCGAUUUGGUGGUGAUGAAAAUGAGGCGCAAAAUGAGCCAGCUCAAAAUGUGGGCGAGAAAAUAAGAAAACCUCGAUGUCAACGCCACAGACGGAAUUGUGGAACAGG